UACGUAGGGGGCAAGCGUUAUCCGGAUUUACUGGGUGUAAAGGGAGCGUAGACGGCAGAGCAAGUCUGAAGUGAAAGCCCGCGGCCCAACUGCGGGACUGCUUCGGAAACUGCCCGGCUAGAGUGCUGGAGAGGUAAGCGGAAUUCCUAGUGUAGCGGUGAAAUGCGUAGAUAUUAGGAGGAACACCAGUGGCGAAGGCGGCUUACUGGACAGUAACUGACGUUGAGGCUCGAAAGCGUGGGGAGCAAACAGG
Molecule: ribosomal RNA, 253 nt
Filed under: uncultured bacterium
Lineage: Bacteria
Description: partial 16S ribosomal RNA
Rfam family: Bacterial small subunit ribosomal RNA
Source: RNAcentral